CAGUCGCCACGGGAAAACGAAGGGGGCUAGCGUUGCUCGGAAUGACUGGGCGUAAAGGGCGCGUAGGCGGCGAUCAAAGUCAGGCGUGAAAUUCCUGGGCUCAACCUGGGACCUGCAUUUGUGACUGUAUAGCUAGAGUACGGUAGAGGGGGAUGGAAUUCCGCGUGUAGCAGUGAAAUGCGUAGAUAUGCGGAGGAACACCGACGGCGAAGGCAAUCCCCUGGACCUGUACUGACGCUCAUGCACGAAAGCGUGGGGAGCAAACAGGAUUAGAUACCCCCGUAGUCCCUGUCUCUUAUAC
RNAcentral lists this ribosomal RNA (301 nucleotides) under uncultured bacterium. RNAcentral describes it as "partial 16S ribosomal RNA". It matches the Rfam family "Bacterial small subunit ribosomal RNA", at positions 509 to 807 of the family's 1533-position model. The record is from RNAcentral.